Arachis ipaensis is the source of this 173-nucleotide non-coding RNA. NCBI's taxonomy places the organism in Eukaryota, Viridiplantae, Streptophyta, Magnoliopsida, Fabales, Fabaceae. The record is from RefSeq and is a predicted model, not a curated record.
GUGUCUCUGCUGCCUUACUCACUCAGAUUAAUGCUACCGCCGCCAGAACGGGUUUCCUGGUCUGAUUUCUGCUUAUUGUGGCUCCACCGUUCUGUUUCUCUGUAGCUGUAUCACUGUCAUUGCUAUUCAUAUUGACACGGUUGUUAUAAGAGGUGUCGGGGCUGUUGUUGUUU